GACAUUCAUCAUCAACGGUUAUUUGGGGUCGACUCGUACCCUGUUUACUUCGUAUCAGUGUUUUUUAUCAUCUAUAUAAUAAAAGAAACUGAAUGUGCAUGAGACUUGAUUUUAAUAUAUGUAGAAUGCCAGAAGAAAUUACAGACAACAAUACUGCUCAGUGCAGUAACCAGACCUAAAAAAAACCACUGCUCAAGGCAAACUUUUGGGACAGAGUGCUGCAUACAUGGGCUUAUGCACAAACUGAGAUUUUGCAAGUCAACUGUCAAAGUCAUAAAGAGAGAUCUAUAGUGGACAAUGUUGAACAGAGUUGAAGUCCUGGAAUCUCGGUCAACUGCAGAUAGCAGCAUGGCGUAAAGCAGACGUCUUGUUUCCCAGUCCAAUUUUAGUCAGGUAUGAAACUGCAGUCAACACAGGUUUUUAGAGGUCUGCAAGUACAGAGUUUUAAAUUGUGAAAUAAAACCUCUAACCAGUUAGCAGUGUGUGUGUGUGUUAUGCUGUGCUGAGAUAUUGCUGUGACAUAUGGUGCAUUAAGGUCCAUAACCUGGUAUCCAUCAAAGAUUGGCUAUGGUGUUUACAGAACUGAAAGCCAAGCUGUGAUUUUUGAAAAUUUAUUAUAAAGUUCUAAAUGGAAAUACAAUUUGAAAAGCA
Molecule: long non-coding RNA, 651 nt
Organism: Mercenaria mercenaria
Lineage: Eukaryota; Metazoa; Mollusca; Bivalvia; Venerida; Veneridae
Exons: 6
Source: RefSeq, a predicted model, not a curated record